Molecule: long non-coding RNA, 961 nt
Organism: Aquila chrysaetos chrysaetos
Lineage: Eukaryota; Metazoa; Chordata; Aves; Accipitriformes; Accipitridae
Exons: 2
Source: RefSeq, a predicted model, not a curated record
ACUCCCGCGAUGCCUCCGCCCACCACCACGAACCGACUCCGCGCAACGCCGGGGGCAGCCGCCAUUUCCCCGCCUGCUCCCGAGCGCGCCGGCGACUGAAGGCCUCCCCCCUCCCAUCAGUCUUGGACACAGUACUAAAAGUACAGUUUAGACCAUGGUGUGAAGACGAACAGCGAGCUGGUGUUUCUGAGAGGCCCCUCUCCCUGCCUGCAGCCCUCCCUUCGCACCGUGUGACCCCACGGAGUUACCCGGGGGCUCUGUCGCUGUUCGCAAAGGACACAGCCGGCAGUGCCCUGCGAGGGCUCGGUGGCGGUGAGUCAGUCCUCGGUUCUCUCUAAAGUCAUCGGAGCAAGUGACUUUGCUGUUCUCUUUCUUCGUUUUUCAGACUAGGAUGAAAAGCGUGGUACUGUAACAGGAGGAGUGUGUCAAAGUAAGGGAAAUAAACUGACGUGAUAAACUGCCCAGCAAUGCUUAUAGUUCGAUGUGAGCUGCUCAAAAUGAGUUGAAGCUUUUGCAGUCUGGUUUACCUUAGUUUUCAGCAUAUUAGUAAGUAUGAUUUUCACUGUAAAACUGACCUUCAGUGAUUUUUUUUUCCUCUUGGAGGAAGGGAUAAGCUAUGAAAGAUAAAACUACAAAUUGCAUGCACCACAGAAAAUUACGCUAUUUUAUGGCCGAUGCCUUUUCAGACAUUCCUGUUGGUAUCAGGACAUCAGUCACAGUCUUCAAAACAGUCACUUCCUCGUGGCAGUUAGUUAUAAAUACUUUAAUUUUGUCUUUUUUUUAAGAAGUAACUUUUUUUCCUACCAUUGAAGGUAAUUUCACAAUCCAGACAAUUGCUGGCCAUUUUGGUCAGAAACUAAAUUCUGUUCUCUGAACACAUCCCAUUCCACUGUAAAUUACCUGAGUACAUGACCUGACCUAAACAGUGCAAGAAAUUGGGUAGACUUGCGUCAUCAAGUAC